RNAcentral lists this ribosomal RNA (407 nucleotides) under uncultured bacterium. Its description in RNAcentral is "partial 16S ribosomal RNA". It matches the Rfam family "Bacterial small subunit ribosomal RNA", at positions 28 to 526 of the family's 1533-position model. The record is from RNAcentral.
GACGAACGCUGGCGGCGUGCCUAAUACAUGCAAGUAGAACGCAGUUGCGAACGGGUGCGUAACGCGUAGGUAACUGCCUCAUAGCGGGGGAUAACUGUUGGAAACGAUAGCUAAUACCGCAUACUGUGAGAUGGACCUGCGUUGUAUUAGCUAGUUGGUGAGGUAAAGGCUCACCAAGGCGACGAUACAUAGCCGGACUGAGAGGGGGGUCGGGCAAACUUGGAAUGAGAAAAGGCCCAGAACUCGUCGGGAGGCAGCAGGAGGGAAUCGUCGGCAAGUGACGGAAGUCUGACCGAGGAACCGCGGCGGAGGUGAGAAGGUUUUCGGAUCGGAAAGCUCUUGUGUUAGAGAAGCGGUAACUAACCAGAAAGCGACGGCUAACUACGUGCCAGCAGCCGCGGUAAUAC